GGCCGAGACGAUCGCGGGCACAUUGAGGGCUAACGCCGGUGCGUGAGGAAAGUCCGGGCUCCACAGGACAGGGUGCCGGGUAACUCCCGGUGAAGGUGACUUUAAGGAAAGUGCAACAGAAAAGGAAACCGCCCUCAUCUUCGGAUGAAGGUAAGGAUGAAAAGGCGAGGUAAGAGCUCACCGGCGGUAUGGAGACAUACCGGCCUUGUAAACCCCACCCGGAGCAACAUCGUGGAAAGGCAUAACCGUUGUCCGCGGGCCUUGAGGAGAUGGCUUGAACCCGGUGGAAACAUCGGGUCUAGACAGAUGAUCGUCAUUACAGAACCCGGCUUACCGGCCGUGUC
This 344-nucleotide RNase P RNA is filed under the name uncultured Saccharofermentans sp. RNAcentral describes it as "Bacterial RNase P class A". It matches the Rfam family "Bacterial RNase P class A". Rfam says of the family: Ribonuclease P (RNase P) is a ubiquitous endoribonuclease, found in archaea, bacteria and eukarya as well as chloroplasts and mitochondria. Its best characterised activity is the generation of mature 5'-ends of tRNAs by cleaving the 5'-leader elements of precursor-tRNAs. Cellular RNase Ps are ribonucleoproteins. Lineage: Bacteria; Bacillati; Bacillota; Clostridia; Eubacteriales; Oscillospiraceae. The record is from RNAcentral.